CGAUAACGAACGAGACCUUGACCUGCUAAAUAGACGGGUUGACAUUUUGUUGGCCCCUUAUGUCUUCUUAGAGGGACUAUCGACCGUCUAGGUGAUGGAGGCAAAAGGCAAUAACAGGUCUGUGAUGCCCUUAGAUGUUCCGGGCUGCACGCGCGCUACACUGACAGAGACAACGAGUGGGGCCCCUUGUCCGAAAUGACUGGGUAAACUUGUGAAACUUUGUCGUGCUGGGGAUGGAGCUUUGUAAUUUUUGCUCUUCAACGAGGAAUUCCUAGUAAGCGCAAGUCAUCAGCUUGCGUUGACUACGUCCCUGCCCUUUGUACACACCGCCCGUCGCUACUACCGAUUGAAUGGCU
RNAcentral lists this ribosomal RNA (356 nucleotides) under uncultured eukaryote. RNAcentral describes it as "SSU rRNA". It matches the Rfam family "Eukaryotic small subunit ribosomal RNA", at positions 1326 to 1698 of the family's 1831-position model. The record is from RNAcentral.